AUGAGUUAAGUAUAAACCCCUUUACAAGUAACAAUUGGAGGGCAAGUCUGGUGCCAGCAGCCGCGGUAAUUCCAGCUCCAAUAGCGUAUAUUAAAGUUGUUGCAGUUAAAAAGCUCGUAGUUGGAUUUCUGUUAAUAAUUUAUAUUAGUAUACAUUUUUGUAUUUAAUAUGAUAUUAACAUAAUUCAUAUUACUAAUUUUAGUAUAUGAAAUUUUACUUUGAGAAAAUUAGAGUGCUUAAAGCAGGCAAUUGCCUUGUAUACUACAGCAUGGAAUAAUAAUAAAAGAUUUUUAUCUUUUUUUUUUAUUGGUUCUAAGAUAAAAAUAAUGAUUAAUAGGGACAGUUGGGGGCAUUUGUAUUUAACAGUUAGAGGUGAAAUUCUUAGAUUUGUUAAAGACAAACUAAUGCGAAAGCAUUUGCCAAGGAUGUUUUCAUUAAUCAAGAACGAAAGUUAGGGGAUCGAAGACGAUCAGAUACCGUCGUAGU
RNAcentral lists this ribosomal RNA (486 nucleotides) under Cryptosporidium sp. vole genotype V. RNAcentral describes it as "partial small subunit ribosomal RNA". It matches the Rfam family "Eukaryotic small subunit ribosomal RNA", at positions 514 to 1024 of the family's 1831-position model. Lineage: Eukaryota; Apicomplexa; Conoidasida; Eucoccidiorida; Cryptosporidiidae. The record is from RNAcentral.